UAGUCCACGCCGUAAACGAUGAGUGCUAGAUAUCGGGAAUUAAAUUUUCGGUUUCGCAGCUAACGCAUUAAGCACUCCGCCUGGGGACUACGAUCGCAAGAUUAAAACUCAAAGGAAUUGACGGGGACUUACACAAGCAGUGGAGCAUGUGGUUUAAUUCGAUGCAACGCGAAAAACCUUACCUACCCUUGACAUCCUUGGAAGGUUCUUGAGAGAGAACUGUGCCUUAGGGAACCAAGUGACAGGUGCUGCAUGGCUGUCGUCAGCUCGUGUCGUGAGAUGUUGGGUUAAGUCCCGUAACGAGCGCAACCCUUAUCCUUAGUUGCCAUCAAUUGAAGUUGGGCACUUUAAGGAGACUGCCAGUGUUAAACUGGAGGAAGGUGGGGACGACGUCAAGUCAUCAUGGCCCUUAUGGGUAGGGCUACACACGUGCUACAAUGGUUGGUACAGAGAGUUGCGAAGUUGUGAGAUGUAGCGAAUCUCUUAAAGCCAAUCGUAGUCCGGAUUGG
This 509-nucleotide ribosomal RNA is filed under the name uncultured bacterium. Its description in RNAcentral is "bacterial SSU rRNA". It matches the Rfam family "Bacterial small subunit ribosomal RNA", at positions 791 to 1301 of the family's 1533-position model. The record is from RNAcentral.